Molecule: ribosomal RNA, 408 nt
Filed under: uncultured bacterium
Lineage: Bacteria
Description: partial 16S ribosomal RNA
Rfam family: Bacterial small subunit ribosomal RNA
Source: RNAcentral
GACGAACGCUGGCGGCGUGCUUAACACAUGCAAGUCGAACGAAGUGGCGAACGGGUGAGUAACGCGUAAUCAACCUGCCCUUCAGAGGGGGACAACAGUUGGAAACGACUGCUAAUACCGCAUACUGAAGGAGGGGAUUGCGUCUGAUUAGCUAGGUGGAGGGGGAACGGCCCACCAAGGGGAUGAUCAGUAGCCGGUCUGGUGAGAUGAACGGGCAAAUUGGGACUGAGGCCCGGCCCAGACUUCUUCGGGAGGCAGCAGUGGGGAAUCUUCCGCAAUGGACGAAAGGCCGACGGAGCAAAGGCGCGUGAGUGAUGACGGCCUUCGGGUUGUAAAGCUCUGUUAAUCGGGACGCGGUACCGGAAUAGAAAGCCACGGCUAACUACGUGCCAGCAGCCGCGGUAAUAC